UAGAAGACAAAAAGCAGGGUUAGUAAAUUUAGAGACUUUCCCAGAACUAUAGACUUUGAUGCAUUAGUCUUUGUUUUAGUUUUGGCAGGUGGUGCUGUCUAUGUGCUAAGUUGGAUGACCCGAAUGGUACUUCCAUCAUGGAGUCAGUUGUGCUAAGGUCUGAAGGUCUACCUUAGUCUGGGGCCCUGUUAUAGUCAUUGUGUGAAGGAAGCUAGCCAACUUGGGAGUAGAUGCUUGUACCACACAGCCAAGUGCAGGUUACAGCUGCUGACCUUCUGUCUUCAUGGGCAGGCCCCUGACUCAGCUAGGGUAGGGGUUCACCUCUGUGCUCCACUUCUGUUUAAUGCAUCCAACUCUGGCCCUGCUGCACUGUCAGCCAUCUGUGAGCUUGUUUCUGCGCUGAGGGGUGCUGAGUUCUAGAAUCAUCCAUGAAAGCCAAUUAAGAUCUUGAAGUUGGUUGUAACCUGUCUUUUGACUGUGCCACGUGAGUGAUGACAUUUAGAUGAGCAGGUUUAAUCAUUUCAGGAGGCUGAAAGUUACCCAGACACUGGGUGCCUGUGGCACCUUUACACCUGACAGAAGAAAAUGAACAUUGGAACCAUGUUCUCCAGGAGCGACCUUGGUUCCAUUUACCCCGGCUCUGCAGAGCACCCGGAAGGGGAAAGCACAGUGCAUCCAGUAAAGACCUGGGAAAUGCCACAGUUUGUACUUCUAGAAAGGGUGUUCAUCUGAAGGCACAAUUGUGAGAAGAUACACAUAAGCCGUAUUACCACCCAGGAUCCCAUACUUCACUGCGAGUCAGCUAAAGAUUUGGGCAGAACUUAUCCACUGAGAUUUCGGUUCUGCUCUUUUGGCUGUCAUAUUCCCUGGACGCCUCCCUUCACUCUCCAGGGAUGUGGCUCCAACAAACUGUCUUCUGGCUCUUUCAGUCCCUCAGCAAUGUAAUCAGCCAGCCUCCUGCUGCCAUGCCGUCCCCACCGCAAUGGACUGUGUCUCUUCAAACCCCUUGAGCCUUGGGAAGCCCCUGAAUACUUACUGAGCACUGGGCCAUGACCAGAGCAGUUUUCCAAGAAGUCUGACUGUGUGGAUGUGGGUGGCCUCUGGAAUGUCAGAAGACAAGGUGAACACUGUACUCCAUGUCCAUCACAAAGCACCAGCUUUGGUGAGCUACAGCCUGGCAUCCACAGCAUGUACAUAUUUCUAAAAAUAAUAAACAAUAUCUGUGUGUCUACUGGUGAGAGGGAAUUAUGUAUGACAAGCCACCAGCACAAUAACAAAAAGCUUUUUGUAUUUUUCUUCAAAUGUAAGACUCUAAUGUUUUUACAUAUGGAAGGACCUGUUUAUUUCAGCUUUCUAGUAUAAACAUUGUAUCUGAAGACUCCGGGACAUCCCUGUGAUGUAAAAAUCUCAGCUUUGUCUGGUUAGCAGAAAGAAUUGUUUCUCCUGACAUUUAGACCUAUGGAUUUAUUGCUGUGGCUUGAGGGAGGGAGAUUUAGUGUUUAUUUCUUUCUUAAUUGCCACUAAAAGACGAAACAUUUAAACAUUCCAAACACGUGUACCAAUAAACAUAAUGAAGAAGCACUAGAAAAAAAAAGUUUAAUGCCAUAACAUAUUUGGCAGUCAGAACUACUUGUACUGGGGAGUAUAUAAGUGAAUGUAAACAUUUACAAAGAAAUAAUCAACAGCACCGAAUAAAUAAACAAAUGAAUAAACAAGAAAGUAAAUACACUUCUGAAAUAAGUUCAAAACAGCCCAUUUUCCUUCCCAUUCGGUUAUAAAUUUCACAUGCAGUUUUCUUUGCAGACAAUUCUGUGUCAGGACUUUGGACUUUGUGUUCCAACUCUCUAAUCUACUCACCCUAAGAGUAGAGGAAGAAAGCUCUC
Molecule: non-coding RNA, 1883 nt
Organism: Peromyscus maniculatus bairdii (prairie deer mouse)
Lineage: Eukaryota; Metazoa; Chordata; Mammalia; Rodentia; Cricetidae
Source: RefSeq, a predicted model, not a curated record